This 338-nucleotide long non-coding RNA is filed under the name Citrus sinensis (sweet orange). RNAcentral describes it as "long non-coding RNA (CSIN_LNC003842)". Lineage: Eukaryota; Viridiplantae; Streptophyta; Magnoliopsida; Sapindales; Rutaceae. The record is from RNAcentral.
CAGUCAUCUAUGUCUUUUUCUUUCAUCUCUUCCUGAGUUCAAGUUUUAUGUUUAAAGGUUUCCUGAGUUCAAGUUCUAUGUUUAAAGGUUGAGGUUUCAGUGGCAUGUUACUUACUGUUGCAUUAAGAACCAGCAACUCCCUCUUUGAAUUGUUCUGAAGAAGGGGGUUUGAUAUUUUCAUUUUUCACAAGCAGUUUCGUUUUUAAUCUUUUUGUAUUUUCGAUUUUAACUUUUUUAAUUUUUUUAACUCUUUUUUAUUUCUUUUUAUAUGUUUAGUUAUCAAGUGUUUUGCCCACUGCCUAGUGACUACCGUAACAUAACCUGUUUUCCAGUUGAAG